RNAcentral lists this unclassified non-coding RNA (329 nucleotides) under soil metagenome. RNAcentral describes it as "partial contains 5.8S ribosomal RNA, internal transcribed spacer 2, and large subunit ribosomal RNA". The stretch from base 1 to 120 matches the Rfam family "5.8S ribosomal RNA", at positions 35 to 154 of the family's 154-position model. The record is from RNAcentral.
GAUGAAGAACGUAGCGAAAUGCGAUAAGUAGUGUGAAUUGCAGAAUUCAGUGAAUCAUCGAAUCUUUGAACGCACAUUGCGCCCCUUGGUAUCCCGAGGGGCAUGCCUGUUCGAGCGUCAUUUCACCACUCAAGCCUGGCUUGGUGUUGGGCGACGUCCUCUUUGGGGACGCGCCUCGAAACGCUCGGCGGCGUGGCACCGGCUUUAAGCGUAGCAGAAUCUUUCGCUUUGGAAGUCGGGGCCCCGUCUGCCGGAAGACCUGCUCGCAAGGUUGACCUCGGAUCAGGCAGGGAUACCCGCUGACCUUAAGCAUAUCAAUAAGCGGAGGA